RNAcentral lists this ribosomal RNA (305 nucleotides) under uncultured bacterium. RNAcentral describes it as "bacterial SSU rRNA". It matches the Rfam family "Bacterial small subunit ribosomal RNA", at positions 332 to 636 of the family's 1533-position model. The record is from RNAcentral.
GAGGCCCUACGGGAGGCAGCAGUGAGGAAUAUUGGUCAAUGGCCGAGAGGCUGAACCAGCCAAGUCGCGUGAGGGAUGACGGCCCUAUGGGUUGUAAACCUCUUUUGUCGGAGAACAAAACCCGGGACGUGUCCCGGACUGCGUGUAUCCGAAGAAAAAGCAUCGGCUAACUCCGUGCCAGCAGCCGCGGUAAUACGGAGGAUGCGAGCGUUAUCCGGAUUUAUUGGGUUUAAAGGGUGCGUAGGCGGUCCGUUAAGUCAGCGGUAAAAUUGCGGGGCUCAACCCCGUCGAGCCGUUGAAACUGG